Magallana angulata is the source of this 5263-nucleotide RNA transcript. It is a transcript of the gene named zinc finger CCCH domain-containing protein 13-like, with no coding region annotated. The transcript has 25 exons. NCBI's taxonomy places the organism in Eukaryota, Metazoa, Mollusca, Bivalvia, Ostreida, Ostreidae. The record is from RefSeq and is a predicted model, not a curated record.
UUCUCCAGGUUCGAAAUUUACUCGAUGAAUUCAACAUGGCGUCUAAUGUACGGGUGGAAAUGUCGAUGUGAUAAGAAACUUGCUUGCAUUCCAUUUUUCAUGUAUUGUGGUGUUGUGAAAUGAGCAAAAUUAAGAGAAGAGUAACAGUUGAUUCUGCUAAGUCUGUCCCGGAUGAGGGAGAUAGGCGCAAACCAAGUGUUUUUGAAAGGCUUGGUCCCGGAGCUCGUAAACAACUAGACGAUCGUGGAGAAAGUUCCUACAACACUAAGUGUCGCCGUUGGUUGAUAAGCGGAGAGUGUAACUUUGGAAACAGUUGUAAAUUUCAGCACGGUCCUCCGUAUAAAAAAGCCAGAGGAGAAGACAGCCCCGACAAAUCGAGAGCGAGACCCAAACAUUUUAAGAAAGAAAUCGAGGAGAGUGACUCGGACUCAGAGCAACGAAGUCGCAGCAAGGUCAAGAAAGAGAAGAUCCGAUCCAUCGUCAGCAAGAAGGCGGCGGCCCCGGACAGUGAUAGCGACAGCUCGGGAGACAGCUGGGAGCAGGAACGACCCCCUUCUGACCGUCCAGAUUUGGAUUUUAAGAAGGAACUUGAGCUAGAGCGGCAGCGCCAGCUGAUUCAGAAAGAGUUAAGUCAACUGUCACAGGAGGAGGAGGCGAGGGAAAACAUCACCAUCCAGAAAAAGCUGAGUAGCAGUGACGACGAAAUGGAAAGUCCAGAGAGGAAGUACAAAAAAUCCAGGUCUCCAAGUAAGAAGAAGAAAGAGAAGAAGCAUAAGAUGAAGUCUCCCAAGGCCAGGGAGAUCCGGACCCCCAGUCCAGUCUCCAGGAAAAGAAGUGAAGAUAGAGACUCCCCGAAGAAAAAACACAAGAAGAAGAAAUCACUAGAGAAGAAGCAAGCAGAGUUCUCUGAAGAAGAAGACCAAGAGAUGAAGUUGAAGAAAAUCAAAAUGAAGGGCAUCAAGUCCAAAUCCUCUGAGAAACCCAUUCUGAGUUUCCAUUCAGAGGAAGAGUAUGAGGAUGAGCUAGCCAAGAAAGCAGCGGCCAAGAAGAUGUCUUCAUGGUCAAGAUCACCCUCACGCUCUAUAUCUAGGUCAAGGUCACCUUCAGCUGAAUAUGAGAGGUCACGAAGGUCACCUGAUGAAUACGAAAAGUAUCUGGUUCAGCAGCAGGGAAAUUCCCCCAUGAGCAAGAAGGGAAAGAAAGCCAUCCGAGCUCAGUUGGAGUUGGAAAACUACAUGAAGGAGAAAUACAAGAAGGGCAAGCAUAGGGAAUUGACUCCCGAGCCCCGAGAGGUAAAGAAGGACCGGUCUCCGUCAUCAGAUCACGGGGAUUUGAAGGGAGGUAAGAAGAAGGGGAAAAAAGAACAGAAGAAGAAGCAUAAGGACUCUGAUAAAGACUACCUGUCCAACAGUGACACAGAGAUGUACUCUAAAAGUGACAAAAGUUACCAAUCCAAGAAGUACGAUCCACCACCGGAUAGUCGGGAACAGAGAAGCUCAAGGAGAGACGACUAUGAACAACAGAGAGGGUCCCCGAAAGAGUACGUGGACAGUCGGUCAACAAAGGGGUACAAGUCUCAGGACCGGCGGGGAUCUAGUCCCCUGGGGAGGGAGCGAAGGAGGAGUCCGUCAGCAGACCUCGGACUGAAAGCUCAGGAGCCGUAUAGCAAGAAGGAGUUCUCUCCCUCUGAGUCCCUCAGGUCGGGGUCCCAGUACCAAAGAAGUCGUCGUGACCCCUCCCCCAGGGACCGGAGAGAUGAGGGGCCCAGGUACUCCAAAGACAGGAGGCUGGAGGAGGAAGGUAGGGGCAGGGACAAGGAAGACCCCAUCCGGGCUGGCAGGUACCCCUCCCCAGGCGACCGCAGGUACGAGAGGGGUCACGAACCUGUCCCCAGUGCAGAGUAUGAAGCAAGUCGAGGAAGAUACUUGGACAAAGGUAGGGAGGGGUAUGAUGACCGCUAUGCCCCCACCCCUACCCCCCACCUAGAGGACCUCAGAGAUCAGCCUAGGGACAGGUACGGUCAGAGAGGAGGUCUCCCCCAGCCAGAACCCUACGACAGAGACAGGAGGGGACCUCCCCCAGACAGAUUCGACAGAGACAAGCGAGGCCCACCAGAGGUAUUUGACAGGGACAAGAGAGGUCCCUCGGAGUAUAAGAGGGGACCUCCACCAGCUGAUGGCUAUGACAGAGAUCGAUAUGCCAGGGACAGGGAUAGAUAUGGGGGGAGGGAACAGAGAUAUGAGGCCAGGGAUCCAAGAUAUGAAGGUCGUGACCCCUAUGAGGGACGUGCACCUCCCCCCGCUGAUUAUGCCUGGGAACAGAGCCGCCGUGGUGGUGCCUGGCCUCCAGCAUCUAGAACACGUGGUGCCCCGCAACCACAGCCUCUGAUGGGCCCAGACCGAGGUUACCGACCCCCCGACCGGUACGCAGAUUACGGACCCCCAAUCCCAGGUGCCAGAUAUGACUCACCACGAGACCUUCGGGGGGAGAGGUCGGACUGGGACCGCCAGGACCUGAGGGAGGAGUUUUACCCUGACCGCAGGGAGUGGGACAGCAGACAUGAUGAGAGGAGGGACUAUCCCCCUCCCCCCAGGGACGAUCGCUUCCUGGACCGGCCUGAUGACAGGUUCAGGGACAGUCGCUAUGAAAGAAAAAAUGAUGAUAGAAGAGAUGACAGUAGGUCAAAGAGAGAUCGCUAUGGCGAUGAUAGGUCAGAGAGAGGGGAUAGGGACAAGGGCGAUUCUCUCGGAAGGUCAGACUAUGACAGAGAUCGUAGAAGUGGGGCAUCCAUAGACAGAAGGCAGGAUUUGUCUCAGGACAGAAAAGGGGACAUAAGGGAUCGCAGAAGGGAGGGGUCACCUGACAGACAGCUAGGGGGCCCAUCAAGGGGAGCAUCUAAAGAGAAGCACCGUGAGGAGGGAGACAGAAGGAAGGAGGAGGCAGGGGAUAAAAAAGGGGAGCGAUCAGUGGAUAGAAAGAGAGAAGAAAAAAGGAGGGAUGAAAGAGGGAGAGGGACAAGUGAUAGACAGAAAGCUGGCUCUGUAGAGAAACCUAUGGAGGCCUCACCCAAUCGGAUGAGAGAGAAGUCACAUGACAAGAAGUGGGAGGAGUCACCGGAAAGGUCGGCUGGGGAUAGAGAGACAGAGAAGGUCAAAGGAGAAGUGGAGGACAGGGGGAAGAGAGAUACCGAGAGAGAGGAGAGGUCCAGUCAAGGCCGAGAUAGGACAUCUCGAGAUAAAGGCGACCCUACACCAACAAAGAAAAAGGACAAGAAAGUAAAAAAAUCUCACAAGGAAAAAUCCAAAGAAGACGAAAAAGGAGAGGAACAUAAAGACAAGAAAGAGAAAGUGGAGCCGAGAAAGGAGAGCAGAAAACGAGGGCAUGAUGAUAAAGACCGAUCAGUGUCACCUGCACCCAGAAGGGAAGCUGACCUAUCCCCCACCCCCUCUACAAAGAGGGUCAGGGACAUAUCCCCUACCCCCUCCACAAAAAAGGCCAGGGAUUUAUCCCCCACCCCAUCAACGAAGAAGGCUAGGGAAAUAUCCCCAACCCCUUCUACUAAAAGGAGCAGGGAAUUGUCACCAGCAGAAUCCCAUCGAAGCAAGAGAGAGGUGUCACCAGCUCUUUCUCACAGAAGUAAGUCCAGUGCUGUGGCUCCUGUAGAGAAGCUGUCAACUAAGGGGGGAGAGGAGGAGGAGAAAUCAAGGUCACGGGACUGGGACCGAGGCAGUGAGAAGUCCGACAGGAAGGGGAGGGAGAGACACGCCUCUAGUCCCUUCUCAGUUGAAGAAGACAGAAGGUCAAGGAUCUCCAAGAGGUCAAGGUCACCUGAGGUCAGAGGGGAUCAGCGAGAUCAAGACAGAAGAAAGAAAAGGAGAACGGAUAAGGAAGAUGACAGAAAAAGUAGUGACAAACCUAAAGAAGAGGACCGCAAAUCAGUCAGCAGACGAUCUCAGGGCAGCCAGCCAGAUAACAAGCACAGUGAUUGGUCAGAGGAUUCAGAGGAAGUCCCCAAAACAGCAGACAACACAGAGAAAGAGCAGGUGGCAUCUGCAUUACCAGAACAUCUCCAAACUCGCCGACAGAGAAGUCAGAGUCGUAGCAGCAUAGGCAGCACCGGGCGCAGCAGUCACCGUGACAACCGAAGCAGACGAUCCUCGUUUGACCGCGGUAGACGUGACCGCUCACCAGACAACAGAACCUCUAGUCGUCCCAGCAGCAAAGAAAGGUCAAGCAAAGCAAGAGCUAGCUCUAUAGAAGACAGAGAAAAGGAGAAGAGCAAAAGAGAGACUUCGGAGAGCAAAACAGUGGCUCCACCCCUUAAAGAAGAAGAAAAGAACGAUAUAGAUGAGGAGGAGAAUUCUGAUGACAAUUUGUCUCUGGAGGAGAUAUCAAGUGAAGAGGGCAGUGUUAUUGGGGAAGAAGAAAAGAAACCCAGUAUAAUGGACAUCGUGGAUAUAGACUGGACAAGUCUGGUUCAGUCUUCACAACCAAAACCGGCCAGUACUGGUUCAGCUCUCCAGCGCUUCAGGGCACCUGCUAUCUUUGCCUCACUUGGUGUUUCUAAGGAGUUUGCUGGGGAGAAGCUGUUCCAAAAAAUCCAAAGUUCUUGUCAACAGGAGCUUGAGGCUCAAAGAGAAAAAGAUUCAGAGACACCAUCAAAACCAGUUGUGUAUGAACUACAAGAUUCUCUUAAGAAAGUUCAGACAGAGUGAUCAACGGCAUUUUCCUCCAAAAAGGACAUUAUAGCCAAAAUUGGCAACUUCCGAAGGGCGCUGUGUGCCAGGAAAGAUAUCGAGAUCCGACGGAAACUCUGUAUAGUUGACACAAACUUGGACCAAUCCUUCAAUCUUCCGAUACCAGACCAAGAGCUGUGUAAACUGAGUGCACAGCUAUUGUCUCAGUGCGGCGACGUUUUCCCCGUGAAAAAGGAGGAGACAACUCCCCCAGCCAUUAAACCUGAAAUACAGUGUGCCUAAGGUUGGCAAGAGGUCAUGAGGGGUCCAUUGUUGUAAACUAGCUCAGACAAAUGGUUUUGUCAUAACAUUCAUGUUAUCUUAUUUGGACCUCAAUCCAUUAACCACAGGCAUAAUGUUAUUCCAUGUGCAGAGAUGCAUAUCCAUCAAAAGUGUGUGUUCAAUGAUUGUGUCUAAUUAAAAUGAAAAGAAAAAAAUAUUAAAAUAUUAAUCAAAUUAGAAAGUGUUCAAUGUUGACUGAAUAGAUUUCAUUUCUUACGAGAAAUUUAAUAAAUGAUUUUGGGUCA